RNAcentral lists this transfer RNA (84 nucleotides) under Phycisphaerales bacterium. Its description in RNAcentral is "tRNA-Leu". It matches the Rfam family "tRNA". From Rfam's summary of the family: Transfer RNA (tRNA) molecules are approximately 80 nucleotides in length. Their secondary structure includes four short double-helical elements and three loops (D, anti-codon, and T loops). Lineage: Bacteria; Pseudomonadati; Planctomycetota; Phycisphaerae; Phycisphaerales. The record is from RNAcentral.
GCGGGCGUGGCGGAACUGGCAGACGCACGGGACUUAGGAUCCCGUGGCCGCAAGGCCGUGCAGGUUCGAUUCCUGUCGCCCGCA